This 929-nucleotide ribosomal RNA is filed under the name uncultured Bacillota bacterium. RNAcentral describes it as "bacterial SSU rRNA". It matches the Rfam family "Bacterial small subunit ribosomal RNA", at positions 1 to 915 of the family's 1533-position model. The record is from RNAcentral. Lineage: Bacteria; Bacillati; Bacillota.
GGAUCCAGACUUUGAUCAUGGCUCAGGAUGAACGCUGGCGGCGCAUUUAAGACAUGCAAGUCGAACGAAAAUUUACGCUUAAAGAGUUGAUUAGUUUACUAAGAGAUGAUUUAUUGUAAAUUUUAGUGGCGGACUGGUGAGUAAUACAUAGGUAAUCUGCCUUUUAGAGGGGAAUAACUAGGAGAAAUCCUAGCUAAUACCGCGUAAGACCACACUUAGGCAUCUAAGAGAGGUCAAAGGAGUAAUCCGCUAAAAGAUGAGCCUGUGGCUGAUUAGUUAGUUGGUGGGGUAAGAGCCUACCAAGACGAUGAUCAGUAGCCGAGCUGAGAGGCUGGCCGGCCACAUUGGGACUGAGAUACGGCCCAGACUCCUACGGGAGGCAGCAGUUGGGAAUAUUGGACAAUGGAGGAAACUCUGAUCCAGUGACGCCGCGUGAAGGAAGAAGGUCUUCGGAUUGUAAACUUAUUUUAUCAGGGAAGAAGAAAGUGACAGUACCUGAAGAAAAAGGACCGGCAAACUACGUGCCAGCAGCCGCGGUAAUACGUAGGGUCCAAGCGUUAUCCGGAUUUACUGGGUGUAAAGGGCGAGUAGACGGCGCUGUAAGUCAGCUGUGAAAACUUAGGGCUCAACCUUAAGCCUGCAGCUGAAACUGUAGUGCUAGAGUGCAGGAGAGGUAAGCGGAAUUCCUAGUGUAGCGGUGAAAUGCGUAGAUAUUAGGAGGAACACCAGUGGCGAAGGCGGCUUACUGGACUGUAACUGACGUUGAGGCGCGAAAGUGUGGGGAGCAAACAGGAUUAGAUACCCUGGUAGUCCACACCGUAAACGAUGGAUACUAGGUGUAGGCGAGAUAUCGUCUGUGCCGGCGCAAACGCAAUAAGUAUCCCACCUGGGGAGUACGGCCGCAAGGUUGCAACUCAAAUGAAUUGACG